Non-coding RNA from Drosophila suzukii, 314 nucleotides. The record is from RefSeq and is a predicted model, not a curated record. Lineage: Eukaryota; Metazoa; Arthropoda; Insecta; Diptera; Drosophilidae.
CAACAGCACCCGGAGCUCCCCGAUUUCCCUGGAGGAGUGGGGCCCCACCACUCGCAUGGGCAUAGAGUCGAUUGCCAGCGCCACCCAAAAGUCUGGAGCCAAACUUGGGGGUUGCCCUAUACCGACCGAAAGGAAGGAGAAAUAAAUAAAUAUAUUGGGAAACCCAUUUCACCUUGGAUCGGUGAUGCUAUUACGCUGACCGCAGCUGUACGUGUGACCACGGCUUUCAGCGGAAUAUCAAUGCGAGAACAAAUGUACAUUCGAACCUUACGCAAACGCUUAAUGCGAAAGUAAUCCAAAGAAAUUUAUGGAGC